RNAcentral lists this ribosomal RNA (252 nucleotides) under uncultured bacterium. RNAcentral's name for it is "partial 16S ribosomal RNA". It matches the Rfam family "Bacterial small subunit ribosomal RNA", at positions 524 to 776 of the family's 1533-position model. The record is from RNAcentral.
UACGUAGGCAGCAAGCGUUGUUCGGAGUUACUGGGCGUAAAGGGUGUGUAGGCGGUUGUUUAAGUUUGGUGUGAAAUCUCCCGGCUCAACUGGGAGGGUGCGCCGAAUACUGAAUGACUAGAGUGCGGGAGAGGAAAGUGGAAUUCCUGGUGUAGCGGUGAAAUGCGUAGAUAUCAGGAGGAACACCGGUGGUGUAGACGGCUUCUGGACCGUAACUGACGCUGAGACACGAAAGCGUGGGUAGCAAACAGG